UACGUAGGCAGCGAGCGUUGUUCGGAAUUACUGGGCGUAAAGCGUGUGUAGGCGGUGCUCUAAGUUCGGUGUGAAAUCUCCCGGCUUAACUGGGAGGGUGCGCCGGAAACUGGAGUGCUCGAGCGUGGGAGAGGAAAGCGGAAUUCCUGGUGUAGCGGUGAAAUGCGUAGAUAUCAGGAGGAACACCUGCGGUGUAGACGGCUUUCUGGACCAUUGCUGACGCUGAGACACGAAAGCGUGGGUAGCAAACAGG
RNAcentral lists this ribosomal RNA (253 nucleotides) under uncultured bacterium. Its description in RNAcentral is "partial 16S ribosomal RNA". It matches the Rfam family "Bacterial small subunit ribosomal RNA", at positions 524 to 776 of the family's 1533-position model. The record is from RNAcentral.